Molecule: ribosomal RNA, 468 nt
Filed under: uncultured bacterium
Lineage: Bacteria
Description: partial 16S ribosomal RNA
Rfam family: Bacterial small subunit ribosomal RNA
Source: RNAcentral
GACGAACGCUGGCGGCGUGCUUAACACAUGCAAGUCGAACGGAAAGGCCCUGCUUUUGUGUGGUGCUCGAGUGGCGAACGGGUGAGUAACACGUGAGUAACCUGCCCUUGACUUUGGGAUAACUUCAGGAAACUGGGGCUAAUACCGGAUAGGAGCUCCUGCUGCAUGGGGGGGGUUGGAAAGUUUCGGCGGUUGGGGAUGGACUCGCGGCUUACCAGCUGGUUGGUGGAGUAGUGCCUUACCAAGGCUUUGGCGGGUAGUCCGCCUGGGAGCGUGACCGGCGACAAUGGGCCUGCGAUACGGCCCAGACUCCUACGGUGCGCAGCAGUGGGGAAUAUUGCACAAUGGGCGGAAGCCUGAUGCAGCAACGCCGCGUGCGUAAUGACGGCCUUCUGGUUGUGAACCGCUUUCGCCUGUGACGAGGCGUUAGUGACGGUAACGGGUAAAGAAGCACCGGCUAACUACGUG